UAGAGUAGGUGUGGCAGCUCAUAGGUCACCUUUGGAGCCAAGGUGAAGAAACGGAACUGCAGAGAGGUUAAGCCACCUGGGGCAGGAACUAGGAUGGAAAUCCAGGCAGUCUUGUUGCUGAGACCAUCUCCAUAAUCCUCUGCUAAACUUCUUCCUACCGAGAAAGACAUGUUCUGGGAGAGCAAGGGCUAAGAGGCUGCUCCUUGAUUCCCCCUGAGUGCCCGCCCUCCAGCCCUCACUCCAGUGAGGGGCCUGACCUGAAACAGCUGUCUGCCCUUGCCAGGCUCAGAGAGUCUCACACUGUCACCAGGCUGGCGUGUAGUGGCGCAAUCUCGGCUCACUGCAACUUCCACCUCCCGGAUUCAAGCAAUUCUUCUGCCUCAGCCUCCUGAGUAGCUGGGACUACAGGUGCGCGCCACCAUGCCCAGCUAAUUUUUGUAUCUUUAAUAGAGACGGGGUUUCACUGUGUUGGCCAGGAUGGUCUCCAUCUCUUGACCUUGUGAUCUGCCCACCUCGGCCUCCCAAAGUGCUGGGAUUAUAGGCAUGAGCCACUGCACCCGGCCCUAAACCAUUUUUUUUUUUAAGUUGGCAGGGCAGCAAGCCCAGGGUGUAGACUGAUGAGACAAGGUCCCUCUGAAAUAGCUCUCAUGGCUCUCCUUGUCUUUCCCACAAACAGAACAGAAGCUAAAGCAGAAAGAAGUUUAAUGGAGACCUGGAAGCCUCUCCGUAAAGACUCUGGGGCAGGAAUGGGAUCUGUUUGCAGGGCUCAGGGAGGACCCACGGCUCCUGUGGAGGCUUACGCGGCACCUGAGAAGUGAUCAGUCAGGAAGAGCUACCUGGAGUACCUGAGCCCAACCAGAUAUUCUUUUCCCCGCCGUCUUCCCCGGGAUCCAGCAAUUUAUAUUCCCUACCUCAGGAAAUCUUGGAAAAGUUAUUCCAGCAGAAUGAAGCAAUGUACUAUUCCAGCAGAACAUAGUCAGGACCUGGUGACGUGGGGGUUUGGCAAUGAUCAAUGACCCUGGUGUCAUACUCUAAAUUUGUUUCAAAAGUGGCAGCAGGGGAGAAGGAGGCAGUGAAAUCAAUACUUGAAGUUUGUCUUGAUUGGAUGGGGUGUGUGUUUUCUUUUCCACCCUAGUUGUUGUUGAAGCUGUUUACCAAAAGGCUGUGCAAAUAGGAUUAGUCAGCUCCAGGGCCAUUAAUAACCCGCUGGACAGAGCUGGCUCCAUUCCAAUUGAUUUUUGAAUUUUUGAAGCUGUCCAUUUUUUUGGAGCAGAGAUGAAAGCCCCAGAGGGGCUGGUAUGAAAGCAUGAGAUUUUUGCCUGUACUGGGGCUGAUCCCACAGAUGCAGGAGAUGAAACGUUCUUCCAGUGCCAUUUGCUUUCCAUCUGAAUGAGGCAGGUCCUGCGGCAGCUCUGAAGAGGCAGGGGCCAUCACAAACGAAUAUUGCAGCAGGUCAAGGGGACACUGCUAUUGUGUGCACACUGAUGGAGACCCAGAGUAAAACGUGGCCUGAGGUUUGCCAGAAUGUGCUUAAGAAGCAAACCUCACAUACCUGAAACUCUCUUCGUGCCCUCCUGUCCUUCCAAAAACUAUCAGUUCGAAUAUCCUGAGAAAUGUCACAUAGGUAAGCUGUAGGACCAUCCUUGAGAGGUUGCUGUUGGUAAAAACCAAUGGGGCCAGAAAACAUGAAUUUAUAUCCCAGCACUCUGGGCUAUAACUUUGAGCAAAUUAAUCUCUCUGAUAUUCUAUUAUAGCAAUUGUGAAUUGACAAUGUCAUCAUAGCCCAUUUCUUAUUUCUGAAAAAGUGCUUUUUCUGGAUCUCAUUCACUUAAGAACUCAAAUUCUAAACAUGGAGACCAUCAGAGCCAAGGUCCUUGUUAAAAGAAAUGUAUGUUUUAUAUAUUAAAGUUUAAAAGAAAUAUA
Molecule: long non-coding RNA, 1923 nt
Filed under: Homo sapiens (human)
Lineage: Eukaryota; Metazoa; Chordata; Mammalia; Primates; Hominidae
Description: HSALNT0372327
Source: RNAcentral